GCCUACGACUAUCUUACCGAGGAUGCGGCUCGAGGAAGAAACUUUAUUGGGUUACCAAUUCAUCGGAGGAAAAGGUGGUUGGAGAUUAAGCUUGGAUGGGCAUCACACAAUCUUGAUAUCGGUACUAGGAGGGGAUGAAGGAUGCGAGAUUGAUGUUUUGAUGGGCUCACUAAAGUCAAAAACCAAGGACUUCGACAUAUUUUUCUCUCUCUCUUUGGUUAAGAUUCUCUAUAUAUGAAAUUGAUUGUAAAAGAUUUUGUUGGUUAAGAUUUUUUAUAUGAAAUUGAUUGUAAUAGACUCUGUGACUAGAAAUGGAUUAUACUUUAUAUUAGGAAUAUCAUGACAUUUACUUUA
Long non-coding RNA from Asparagus officinalis (garden asparagus), 354 nucleotides. RefSeq lists it as uncharacterized. The transcript has 2 exons. Lineage: Eukaryota; Viridiplantae; Streptophyta; Magnoliopsida; Asparagales; Asparagaceae. The record is from RefSeq and is a predicted model, not a curated record.